CAAGAAGUUCUUAGAGCAGGAGUGAGGUUCAUCACCCGGAAAAUGGUUGACUUUAGGUCUCAAACCAAAAACAAGAUGCUAUCAAGAAAUGAAUCAGCAGACUUAGGCUGUAAAAGUCUGAAGGACUUGGGAAAAGCUCUCUUUUCCAGGUUUCAAUGCCAAGAUGAAGAAGCUGUUGAGAAUAUGACAGUUGCUUUAAGAGCAUUCAGCUAUGAAAAAAACAACUUAAAAAGCAGUCUGGGGAGCCCUUGAAGGAUUUCUGGACAGCCUUCAAGGGUUUCCUGAGCGUUAUCCUAGACAAUCAGGACAAGGACAAAUGGGCCCAGUUGAAA
Molecule: long non-coding RNA, 332 nt
Organism: Mytilus trossulus (common blue mussel)
Lineage: Eukaryota; Metazoa; Mollusca; Bivalvia; Mytilida; Mytilidae
Exons: 3
Source: RefSeq, a predicted model, not a curated record